AUAAAGAGGCGCCACAUACAAAAUGGAUGUGGCCCGACCACGUCGUAGCCGGGGUGAGCGAUUUGUGUGAUUGAUGUUUGCCGGAGGUUCAGGAUGCAAGGUUUAAUCAAAAAUACGGAGCAGAGGAAAGGGAUUAGAAGGAAAUUUAGGAGGCAAAGAUUAAUCACAGAAACGACGCAUAGGAAAGCAGGAUGAAGGCAGAUUGAUGAAAUUCAAAUUGGUCGAGGUGCUAUCGUUAACUUGAAACUUCGGUUUAUCGUGGUCAUUAUAAAGGAAAUGGUGACAGAUGUUCACUAAUUUUUUUCCCCUGUACCUGCUUAUCUUGCUGAUGAUGAGUCGCCUAUCUUUGUGUUCCCUACUGGAUUUAGAAUGAUGGAAACUCGAUGCAGGGCUUGGUGUUUGGAUGUGUUUGCCUAAUAAGGAUAAAAUUUUUGUGUAGUUUCUGUUGUAGGUAAUAUAUAGCUCAUCUGAGUUGUGGGCUAAAAUGAGGAUAAAAUUUCUAUGUGCUUUCUGUUCUAGGCAAGAAACUGAAAGUGGAAAAUGAUACACCACAAGGUGGUAACAGAACCAUGGAUGUCGAGGAAGUGAGAGGAGUACUGACCCCAUUCUCGAAUGUUGUUCAAAGGUGUGAGGAUGUUGGUGAUAAAAAAACAAGGUUGGAUUUGAUGAGUUCUAGGGGAGUCUCUAAGGAAGAUGGAGGCAUUUUUGUUCUACCGUUGAUGAGACUUGUGGGGGGUGUUCUAAAAGACAAAGGCCAAGCUCUGCGAGGAAGUUUAUGAACAGAUCAAUAUCAUUUGCAUUCACUAUCAUACUGCAAGGUUCCAACAUAUAAUUGAUUGUUGCAACAUUAUUCGCUAUAUUUUAUUACUCUCAACUGCAUGAAUGUAUGCAUCUUCUUGAUUUUGAAUUUUGUAUCCAAAGUCAUGAACAUCAAAACGUAUUAUCAUCACCCUAUUUUAUAACUUCUUAUACAUAAAGUGGAUAACUGUGAGGAUGAAAAUAUGAAUCUGCGGGCCUGUCAUCACAGUCAAGAGGAUGCGUGUUCAAUUCACGUCAGAUUCUCGGCCUUUCAGUUUUUCCUUUAUUAUGCUCUUUUGCAGCAUUGAUAAACCUAGAAUAGGUAACAGUAGCAUCAGACCAUAUACAAUAAACUUGAAUUGUUUUGUUAUACUCAAAUCAAAUGAAGAAGUUUGGUGAUCAGGUUAACGGAUUAUGACAUGAAUCAUAAUUCUUACCAUGUAGUAGAAUGAAUGUUUGUGGACAUAUCCAUGAACAGACAACAGAACGCAACGCGGCCAUUGGCGAUCAAGUGGCAUGAUUUUCCAUCCUUUUUUGAAAGGAAAGAUUUUAACCAGUAGAUUGUAAUCUCGGCAAUUGUGAAAAUACGCAUAACGAGUCUACAGGUGAGGUAUUGCUUCGUUGAUUUGCUUAAAUGGGUUUUUAUGCUAUGUUGUUGUUAUUCAUUCUAUCUCCACGAGUACUUGAAAGUUUAAUUCAAAUCAGGCUAGAUGGGAUAAAUACUUAUAUGCUAAUUCUUGAAGCAAUGAGAUUGUAUUAUUGUUGAGAUUUGAUGUUUAUGGCAGAAUUUGAAGUGGAAUUGCAUGAGUAUUGGUGGGCAUAUUAAGAGCAAGUCAAUUAGAAGCCAAAAUGGAUUUGAAAUAUUAUGGAAAGCAAUAUCCAAGGAAUUUUAUGGUUGUAAAUCGAAUGGAUAGAGAAUGGCGCAACUAUGGUGUUGAUGACCAAUGCAUGCAUGAUAACAACUUCAAGGUAGUGACUUGGUUCUGAGGUACUCUUUUUGAUAACCUAUAUAAACCUUUGCUUAUAAUGUUUAUAUUUUAGAUCCAUAUAGUAUUAUGCUCAUUGUUUCAUAAUUUUCACACCAAUUUAGUUUCAUGAAAUGAUCAAAACUGUGAUAUUAUUACUCAAAAUAAACCACUGAUCAGCGCACAACUUAGUUGCGUGCAAUGAGCAACACUACUUUAGUUUCUCUACGCUUCAUGUUUCCAUCUUUGUUUUGGGUCAUGUGAUUUGGUAGGUAUCAUAGAUAUGGUUUAUUUCUGGAAGAAUUUUAAGUUAAAACUUUACUUAAUUGGUAUUGCUUAUGUUUUUAUGUUCCAAAUAUCCUACGUUGUUUCCAUUCUGACAUAUUUGUCACUUCUUUCUCUACAUUUGUGAAAGCGAUAAUGAAUAUAUUGACCAUUUGGUCAUUGAUAUGUUUCCAUUUUUGUUUUCCGGAGAAAUAUUGAAAUAGCUAGAGCAGUUAAGCCUUGGACAGAAUAUUAAAUUAUCUCCUAGUAGUUUAUGUGGGAUCUUUAUCGAAGCAGUAUCUUCAAGUUAUGGUAAGUUCUGCAAGGUGUUCUCUAUGCCUAUACCUCUAUGGAGGUCAUUGCCAUAUUAUUAAGCUAAGUGUCAUCCUCAAUACGAUAGAAAAAGUGAAUCCAGAUGGAGACUGUAUUCAUCACAAUAAUUCUUCUGUUGGGCGUAGUACAUUUUAGGAGGAUUAAAUCUUCUCCUCAUGUAAAAAAUGUAGAAGAACGGUUACUGAAUCCCAUAAAUAGUGACAAUAAUCAGAAUAUAAUACAUGAAAGGUGUAGGUGCCCGAAUCAUAUUCCGCAGCCA
Long non-coding RNA from Papaver somniferum (opium poppy), 2619 nucleotides. RefSeq lists it as uncharacterized. The record is from RefSeq and is a predicted model, not a curated record. NCBI's taxonomy places the organism in Eukaryota, Viridiplantae, Streptophyta, Magnoliopsida, Ranunculales, Papaveraceae. The transcript is spliced from 7 exons.